Molecule: ribosomal RNA, 463 nt
Filed under: Cymbastela concentrica
Lineage: Eukaryota; Metazoa; Porifera; Demospongiae; Axinellida; Axinellidae
Description: eukaryotic LSU rRNA
Source: RNAcentral
AAACUUUGGAGAGAGAGUCAAAGAGACCGCGAAACCGUUAGGAGGGAAGCGAAUGCAGCCAGAGCGGCUUCGUUCAGGUUCAGGAGGCGAUGUGCCUGUUCGCUCGUGCGUCGUUYUGAACCCGGUGGGUAGGCGCUGGGCGGAGUGGGUGCAUCUCUUCAGCAAUCCAGUUUCGUAGCCAGCCAACGUCGGUCGGCCGUCGCCCAGCAGGGCGGCGGGGAAGGUUUCUUUCCGUGCCUCCUUGUGGGGCUUUGGGAAGGGCUUAUAGCCACGCCGUUCGGAAGUGGACGGGCGACCGAGGACUGUCGCAACCCCUUUGCGCAGGCACUGCGGGCCCCUUGUGGGCCGGAUCGCCCCUGCUCGUCCGGGAAGCGCGGAGGCCGACUGCUUGCAGUGUUCUGUGACGCUUGUCAGUUCGGGCGGGGGAUCGGUGCGACUGCAGUGAUGUCGUUGGCACGGAGGA